Molecule: ribosomal RNA, 497 nt
Filed under: uncultured bacterium
Lineage: Bacteria
Description: partial 16S ribosomal RNA
Rfam family: Bacterial small subunit ribosomal RNA
Source: RNAcentral
GAUGAACGCUGGCGGCGUGCCUAAUACAUUCAAGUCGAGCGAACAGACGAGGAGCUUGCUCCUCUGACGUUAUCGGCGGACGGGUGAGUAACACGUGGAUAACCUACCUAUAAGACUGGGAUAACUUCGGGAAACCGGAGCUAAUACCGGAUAAUAUAUUGAACCGCAUGUUUCAAUAGUGAAAGACGGUUUUGCUGUCACUUAUAGAUGGAUCCGCGCCGCAUUAGCUAGUUUGUAAGUUAACGGCUUACCAAGGCAACGAUGCGUAGCCGACCUGAGAGGGUGAGCGGCCACACGGGAACUGAGACACGGUCCAGACUCCUACGGGAGGCAGCAGUAGGGAAUCUUACGCAAUGGGCGAAAGCCGGACGGAGCAACGCAGAGUGAGUGAUGAAGGUCUUCGGAUCGUAAAACUCUGUUAUGAGGGAAGAACAAAUGUGUAAGUAACUAUGCACGUCUUGACGGUACCUAAUCAGAAAGCCACGGAUAACUACGUG